Oncorhynchus keta (chum salmon) is the source of this 500-nucleotide long non-coding RNA. RefSeq lists it as uncharacterized. The transcript has 4 exons. Lineage: Eukaryota; Metazoa; Chordata; Actinopteri; Salmoniformes; Salmonidae. The record is from RefSeq and is a predicted model, not a curated record.
AGGCUACCCUGCCGGAUACUGUCCUACGGUGAGGUAGAACUCCACGGGGUGUCUACACUGACCUACGGUGAGGUACAACCCCACAGGGUGUCUACACUGACCUACGGUGAGGUACAACCCCACAGGGUGUCUACACUGACCUACGGUGAGGUACAACCCCACAGGGUGUCUACACUGACCUACGGUGAGGUACAACCCCACAGGGUGUCUACACUGACCUACGGUGAGGUACAACCCCACAGGGUGUCUACACUGACCUACGGUGAGGUACAACCCCACAGGGUGUCUACACUGACCUACGGUGAGGUACAACCCUACAGGGUGUCUACACUGACCUACGGUGAGGUACAACCCCACAGGGUGUCUACACUGACCUACGGUGAGGUACAACCCCACAGGGUGUCUACACUGAAUAAAAUAUAAACACAACAUGUAAAGAUUUGGUCCCAUGUUUCAUGAGUGGAAAUAACAGAUCCCAGAAAUGUUCUUUACGCACAAAA